GAUACUUAGGUCCCUGGAAGGCGCAUGGCCCAGCUUAGACAAUAGGCGGAGGAGGCUGAACAAGGGGCUUUUGUGUCUCCCAAGCAAAGGUCCCAGCGGGACUGCAGAGGCGGCUCUGCCCCUCUGGGCUGUGUGUCCGCUCUGUUGCUGCUCCCGGUGGGGCUGCAGCCAGCACCCUUCAUGGCAGCCAGGCCCAGUCAGCUGAUAUGGAGCCCAAGAGGGCCCAAGGCCCCAAGGGCCCUGGGCAAGUUCCUUGGCUACAGGAAGAGGCCUCCUCUGCACUUGUCCAGCCACCCGAGUGAUUGACUCCACUUCACAGGAAAGGAGACCCUGAGAGAGAAUGGAACUGGGUCAAGGUCUCCCAGAGUCGGUGCUGAAGCUGGGUAGGAACCUACAUUCCUGAUUCCUAGACCAGAAAUGAGAGAGAGGGGGGCGCUCAUUCGUUCAUCCAUUCACACCUUUAAGGACUGAGCACCUGGGACAGCAGCAGGAAGAAGGUAGACCUGCUUCCCGCCCUCGGGAGCUCACAGUCUCCGAAUGGGUCAGACACGCAGCCUGACCAGGGAAGGCCAUUAGAGUGGGGUGGACGUGGACGGCAGAGAAGAGAGUUAAAGCAGCUCAAGAUAACGGGCUAGAGAGAGUGGGGAGUUCAGGGAGCUGCUGGUUAGAUUAAGGCAGGGAAAGUGGGGAGCACGGAAGAGGUGGGAUCCUGAGUACCCUGCUUUCCUUCCCAGGGUAAUGGGGAGAGGCAUUCCCUACCCCCACUUUCAAGCAAGGGAGGUGCGUCCUCGGCCUGGGGUUUCGAGCAGGUCUCUCUGAGCAGGUCCCUUCCUGGCCAGCCGGGCUGGGGCAGGGGCGGGAUAGGGGUAGGGUGGCGCGGCGGCUGGGCGCAAAGGUCCCGCAGUGGGCCACGCAGGCGCCGGGCUGACGCGGCAAAACUUUGGCGUCUCUGAAAACCUCUGCUCACCCGCUCCUUUCUAGCGUGAGGGAGCCGGGCGGCCUCUUUCCGGCCCGGCAGUGGGACCGUCGCCGCCCGCCCCUCCCGUUGCAGCACCGCUACAGACGCGCUGACCCCGCGGCCGUGUCGCUAGGCGGCAUCCCGGAGCGGGUGGCGAGGUAUCUACCCGGGCGGGUUGAGGGCGGUGCCAGGGUUGGUCAAAGGUCCGCCCCGCCCCCUGCCUGGCCCGGCUUCGGGGUUGGGGAACAGCGCAGAGAGGUGGGUAGCUGGGCUCCCAGGCACGUGGAUCUCUGCGACGGCGGCUGCACGCAGGCACUGGCACCCGGGAGCCGCGGCGACGGCACGCCGGACGGAGAAGCGCAGCGCAGGGGCGAGAGCAUGGCAUCGCCGGGACCACAGCCUGAUCUGCCUGGUUUGUUUUGGAUCUAAGCUGAAAUAAUGAUGAGUUUUGAGGAUCUGGAUGAGGACCCAGGCAAGUUUAUUACCUGUGGGUGGAAGUGGGAGGAAGAAGAUUCUUUGCGCAGACAGGUCC
Molecule: long non-coding RNA, 1490 nt
Organism: Piliocolobus tephrosceles (Ugandan red Colobus)
Lineage: Eukaryota; Metazoa; Chordata; Mammalia; Primates; Cercopithecidae
Source: Ensembl